UGGGGAAUUUUGGACAAUGGGGGCAACCCUGAUCCAGCCAUGCCGCGUGUGUGAAGAAGGCCUUCGGGUUGUAAAGCACUUUCGGCCGGAACGAAAUCGCGCGGGCUAACACUCCGCGUGGAUGACGGUACCGGAAGAAGAAGCACCGGCUAACUACGUGCCAGCAGCCGCGGUAAUACGUAGGGUGCGAGCGUUAAUCGGAAUUACUGGGCAUAAAGUGUGCGCAGGUGGCCGCGCAAGUCGAGUGUGAAAGCCCCGGGCUUAACUUGGGAAUUGCGCUCGAAACUACGUGGCUAGAGUGUGGCAGAGGAAGGUGGAAUUCCACGUGUAGCGGUGAAAUGCGUAGAGAUGUGGAGGAACACCGAUGGCGAAGGCAGCCUUCUGGGCCAACACUGACGCUCAUGCACGAAAGCGUGGGGAGCAAACAGGAUUAGAUACCCUGGUAGUCCACGCCCUAAACGAUGAUGACUAGUUGUUGGGGGAGUUAAAUCCCUUAGUAACG
This 502-nucleotide ribosomal RNA is filed under the name uncultured Pseudomonadota bacterium. RNAcentral's name for it is "bacterial SSU rRNA". It matches the Rfam family "Bacterial small subunit ribosomal RNA", at positions 355 to 848 of the family's 1533-position model. The record is from RNAcentral. Lineage: Bacteria; Pseudomonadati; Pseudomonadota.